Molecule: ribosomal RNA, 600 nt
Filed under: Trichoderma stercorarium
Lineage: Eukaryota; Fungi; Ascomycota; Sordariomycetes; Hypocreales; Hypocreaceae
Description: eukaryotic LSU rRNA
Rfam family: 5.8S ribosomal RNA (bases 215-368)
Source: RNAcentral
UCCCAAACCCCAAUGUGAACGUUACCAAACUGUUGCCUCGGCGGGUCUCGAGACGCCCGCGUCUCCGCCCCGGGCGCGUCGCAGCCCCGGACCAAGGCGCCCGCCGGAGGACCAACUUACAAACUCUUUGCAUGAGUCCCCUCGCGGAUUCUCUUUAUUUUUAGCUUCUGAGCUUUCUCGGCGCCCCCUAGCGGGCGUUUCGAAAAUGAAUCAAAACUUUCAACAACGGAUCUCUUGGUUCUGGCAUCGAUGAAGAACGCAGCGAAAUGCGAUAAGUAAUGUGAAUUGCAGAAUUCAGUGAAUCAUCGAAUCUUUGAACGCACAUUGCGCCCGCCAGUAUUCUGGCGGGCAUGCCUGUCCGAGCGUCAUUUCAACCCUCGAGCCCCUCCGGGGGGUCGGCGUUGGGGAUCGGCCUCCCGCCCAGCGGUUUGCCGGCCCCGAAAUGCAGUGGCGGUCUCGCCGCAGCCUCUCCUGCGCAGUAGUUUGCACACUCGCAACGGGAGCGCGGCGCGCCCACGGCCGUAAAACAACCCAAACUUCUGAAAGGUUGACCUCGGAUCAGGUAGGAAUACCCGCUGAACUUAAGCAUAUCAAUAAGCG